CCUACGGGAGGCAGCAGUGGGGAAUUUUGGACAAUGGGCGCAAGCCUGAUCCAGCCAUUCCGCGUGAGUGAAGAAGGCCUUCGGGUUGUAAAGCUCUUUCGCAAGGGAAGAAACGUUACGGGCGAAUAACCCGUGAUAAUGACGGUACCUUGAUAAGAAGCACCGGCUAACUACGUGCCAGCAGCCGCGGUAAUACGUAGGGUGCAAGCGUUAAUCGGAAUUACUGGGCGUAAAGCGUGCGCAGGCGGUUUUUGUAAGUCAGAUGUGAAAUCCCCGAGCUCAACUUGGGAACUGCGUUUGAAACUACAAGGCUAGAAUAUGUCAGAGGGGGGUAGAAUUCCACGUGUAGCAGUGAAAUGCGUAGAGAUGUGGAGGAAUACCAAUGGCGAAGGCAGCCCCCUGGGAUAAUAUUGACGCUCAUGCACGAAAGCGUGGGGAGCAAACAGGAUUAGAUACCCUGGUAGUCCACGCCCUAAACGAUGUCUACUAGUUGUUGGUGGAGUAAAAUCCAUGAGUAACGCAGCUAACGCGUGAAGUAGACCGCCUGGGGAGUACGGUCGCAAGNUUAAAACUUCAAAGGAAUUGAGG
Molecule: ribosomal RNA, 588 nt
Filed under: uncultured bacterium
Lineage: Bacteria
Description: bacterial SSU rRNA
Rfam family: Bacterial small subunit ribosomal RNA
Source: RNAcentral